This 644-nucleotide long non-coding RNA is filed under the name Hordeum vulgare. RNAcentral describes it as "long non-coding RNA (HVUL_LNC021148)". The record is from RNAcentral. Lineage: Eukaryota; Viridiplantae; Streptophyta; Magnoliopsida; Poales; Poaceae.
CGGACGCCCCCCUCCAAACAUACAUCUAAGUCAAAAAAAAUUCAAUUUUUUCGGAACCUUUCUCAGAAAGGAACUACUCUAUCCCGAACAACGGUCGGUCGGUUUGGAAACCUCGACCUCCCUCUCUUCACACAUUGUGCUCGUGGUUUUAUCUGCCUCUUGUUCUUUAAGAAACAAACGGCAGAAAAACCACCAAUGUGUGCUUGACACCCCCGGUACAGACUGGUGAACAAUCUUCUUCUUGUUUUCUCCGACCUAGAGCACUCUUUUUUCAAUAGGGGGGCGGUAUUCUUAUUCCUUGGCUCGCCACUUAUGAAACAAAACUAGAUAUUUCUUAUUAUUUUCUUAGGAGCUGAGCUCCGCAUGCGGUUCGAUUAAGAUGUGUAUCUCUUUAUCCAAUUUCGGUCUCGAUUAGUUCACAAGAUUGAAUGGCCAAGUCAUGGAAAAGCCGUUAUUCGAUUGUUUUAAAAGAAUGUUGAGCCGGGCCCGGUCACUUUUUUUUUCAAGUCAGCUUAAGAGGUUCAAAAGAGAAAGUCACUCUCCUUAUUCUUGGCUAGUGGAAUGGAAGCAAGACUUAGCCAAAGAAAGAUGAGACGAGACGGACUGUCAGAGGACGCAGCGGGACUACCAGGGGAAAGCCCGCC